Molecule: transfer RNA, 74 nt
Filed under: Candidatus Uhrbacteria bacterium RIFCSPHIGHO2_12_FULL_54_23
Lineage: Bacteria; Candidatus Uhriibacteriota
Also listed under: 2 other names
Description: tRNA-His
Rfam family: tRNA
About the family: Transfer RNA (tRNA) molecules are approximately 80 nucleotides in length. Their secondary structure includes four short double-helical elements and three loops (D, anti-codon, and T loops). Further hydrogen bonds mediate the characteristic L-shaped molecular structure. tRNAs have two regions of fundamental functional importance: the anti-codon, which is responsible for specific mRNA codon recognition, and the 3' end, to which the tRNAs corresponding amino acid is attached (by aminoacyl-tRNA synthetases). tRNAs cope with the degeneracy of the genetic code in two manners: having more than one tRNA (with a specific anti-codon) for a particular amino acid; and 'wobble' base-pairing, i.e. permitting non-standard base-pairing at the 3rd anti-codon position.
Source: RNAcentral
GUGACCAUGGUGUAACGGCAGCACAGGAGCUUGUGGAGCUCUUAGCCCGGGUUCGACACCCGGUGGUCACCCCA